RNAcentral lists this ribosomal RNA (570 nucleotides) under uncultured bacterium. RNAcentral describes it as "partial 16S ribosomal RNA". It matches the Rfam family "Bacterial small subunit ribosomal RNA", at positions 355 to 914 of the family's 1533-position model. The record is from RNAcentral.
UGGGGAAUAUUGCACAAUGGGCGCAAGCCUGAUGCAGCCAUGCCGCGUGUAUGAAGAAGGCCUUCGGGUUGUAAAGUACUUUCAGCGGGGAGGAAGGGAGUAAAGUUAAUACCUUUGCUCAUUGACGUUACCCGCAGAAGAAGCACCGGCUAACUCCGUGCCAGCAGCCGCGGUAAUACGGAGGGUGCAAGCGUUAAUCGGAAUUACUGGGCGUAAAGCGCACGCAGGCGGUUUGUUAAGUCAGAUGUGAAAUCCCCGGGCUCAACCUGGGAACUGCAUCUGAUACUGGCAAGCUUGAGUCUCGUAGAGGGGGGUAGAAUUCCAGGUGUAGCGGUGAAAUGCGUAGAGAUCUGGAGGAAUACCGGUGGCGAAGGCGGCCCCCCUGGACGAAGACUGACGCUCAGGUGCGAAAGCGUGGGGCAGCAGACAGGAUUAGAUACCCUGGUAGUCCACGCCGUAAACGAUGUCGACUUGGAGGUUGUGCCCCUUGAGGCGUGGCUUCCGGAGCUAACGCGUUAAGUCGACCGCCUGGGGAGUACGGCCGCAAGGUUAAAACUCAAAGGAAUUGAC